CUACUCUUGACAUCCAGCGAACUUUCCAGAGAUGGAUUGGUGCCUUCGGGAACGCUGAGACAGGUGCUGCAUGGCUGUCGUCAGCUCGUGUUGUGAAAUGUUGGGUUAAGUCCCGCAACGAGCGCAACCCUUAUCCUUUGUUGCCAGCGAUUCGGUCGGGAACUCAAAGGAGACUGCCGGUGAUAAACCGGAGGAAGGUGGGGAUGACGUCAAGUCAUCAUGGCCCUUACGAGUAGGGCUACACACGUGCUACAAUGGCGCAUACAAAGAGAAGCGACCUCGCGAGAGCAAGCGGACCUCAUAAAGUGCGUCGUAGUCCGGAUCGGAGUCUGCAACUCGACUCCGUGAAGUCGGAAUCGCUAGUAAUCGUGGAUCAGAAUGCCACGGUGAAUA
RNAcentral lists this ribosomal RNA (393 nucleotides) under uncultured Pantoea sp. Its description in RNAcentral is "bacterial SSU rRNA". It matches the Rfam family "Bacterial small subunit ribosomal RNA", at positions 975 to 1368 of the family's 1533-position model. Lineage: Bacteria; Pseudomonadati; Pseudomonadota; Gammaproteobacteria; Enterobacterales; Erwiniaceae. The record is from RNAcentral.